UCAGGUACCUGAAGUAGCGCGCGGA
This 25-nucleotide non-coding RNA is filed under the name Drosophila melanogaster (fruit fly). Lineage: Eukaryota; Metazoa; Arthropoda; Insecta; Diptera; Drosophilidae. The record is from RNAcentral. RNAcentral also lists the same sequence under 1 other name.